CAAAAACAUGUCCUAUUGAUUAAAUAUUAGGUCUAGCCUGCCCACUGAUAAUAUAUUAAAUGGCCGCAGUAUUUUAACUGUGCAAAGGUAGCAUAAUCAUUAGUCUUUUAAUUGAAGGCUGGUAUGAAUGGUUGGACGAAGCAUUAACUGUCUCAUAUUUAAUUUAUAGAAUUUUAUUUUUUAGUUAAAAAGCUAAAAUAAUAUUGAAAGACGAGAAGACCCUAUAGAUCUUUAUAAAUUUUUUUUUUGUUAAUAUUUAGAAGUUUAGUUUAUUAAAAAUAUUUAUUUAUUUUAUUGGGGUGAUAUUAAAAUUUAAUAAACUUUUAAUUUAUUAUUUACAUUAAUGUAUGGUUGUAUGAUCCACUAUUAGUGAUUAUAAGAUUAAGUUACCUUAGGGAUAACAGCGUAAUCUUUUUGGAGAGUUCUUAUCGAUAAAAAGGGUUGCGACCUCGAUGUUGGACUAAAAUUAAUAUUGGGUGUAGCAGUUCAAUAAUUAAGUCUGUUCGACUUUUAAUUUUUUACAUGAUCU
RNAcentral lists this ribosomal RNA (529 nucleotides) under Metatrichia robusta. Its description in RNAcentral is "partial 16S ribosomal RNA". It matches the Rfam family "Bacterial large subunit ribosomal RNA", at positions 1808 to 2606 of the family's 2925-position model. Lineage: Eukaryota; Metazoa; Arthropoda; Insecta; Diptera; Scenopinidae. The record is from RNAcentral.